UCACUGUUCAGACAGGCGGA
Molecule: microRNA, 20 nt
Filed under: Pan troglodytes (chimpanzee)
Lineage: Eukaryota; Metazoa; Chordata; Mammalia; Primates; Hominidae
Also listed under: 2 other names
Description: ptr-miR-1208
Source: miRBase by way of RNAcentral